GAUGAACGCUGGCGGCGUGCCUAAUACAUGCAAGUCGAGCGAAAAGACGAGGAGUUUGCUCCUCUGACGUUAGCGGCGGACGGGUGAGUAACACGUGGAUAACCUACCUAUAAGACUGGGAUAACUUCGGGAAACCGGAGCUAAUACCGGAAAAUAUAUUGAACCGCAUGGUUCAAUAGUGAAAGAGGGUUUUGCUGUCACUUAUAGAUGGAUCCGCGCUGGAUGAGCUAGUUGGUAAGGUAACGGCUUACCAUGGCGACGAUGCGUAGCCGACCUGAGAGGGGGAUCGCCCCCUCUGGAGCUGGACCGCGGUCCAGGCUCCUACGUGAGGCAGCGGUAGGGAAUCUUCCGCGAUGGGCGGAAGCCUGACGGAGCAGCGCCGCGUGGGUGAUGAGGGUCUUCGGAUCGUAAAACUCUGUUAUUGUUGAAGAACAAAUGUGUAAGUAACUAUGCACUUCUUGACGGUACCUAAUCAGAAAGCCACGGCUAACUACGUG
RNAcentral lists this ribosomal RNA (497 nucleotides) under uncultured bacterium. RNAcentral's name for it is "partial 16S ribosomal RNA". It matches the Rfam family "Bacterial small subunit ribosomal RNA", at positions 28 to 507 of the family's 1533-position model. The record is from RNAcentral.